CUCUGCGUCUGGAGAACACAGGACGUCCACAGGAAAGUUCUCCCUCCUGCACUCCCGGCUGGCUCUGAAAAUUAUGAACUCUCUUUUCCUUAAAAUAAAGGCUCUAAAAUUGUGUGAUUCCACCUCCCUGAGGCUAAGCGAAAGAGCCGCGUCUGCCCCUGUCCUUCCCGGGGGCUGGCAGGGAGUGGGUGCCCGGCGGUGACUCAGCCCUGCAGCCUCCCAGCCCUUCCCCGUAUGCGGGCAGGUGAUGCGGACGCCUCCGACCCUCGUGGGGUUUGUGGAGAGCGUUGAUCAGCGCUGCCGUCAGAACAGGACCUGUGCGAGGCCUCGCAGAUGCCGGGAGCCGGGCGGUGCUCUCGGUGCUUCUCAUCAAAUCCACUGGCUCUUCGAGAGGAAGCACAUGUCAC
RNAcentral lists this long non-coding RNA (407 nucleotides) under Homo sapiens (human). RNAcentral describes it as "HSALNT0355452". The record is from RNAcentral. Lineage: Eukaryota; Metazoa; Chordata; Mammalia; Primates; Hominidae.